GACUUGUGUGAAAUCCCUUUUACCAGCUUGACAUGUCGCAUAUGACUGGUAAGAUUCAGCUGUGAAGUCAGCCAAAGC
Molecule: small nucleolar RNA, 78 nt
Organism: Accipiter nisus (Eurasian sparrowhawk)
Lineage: Eukaryota; Metazoa; Chordata; Aves; Accipitriformes; Accipitridae
Source: Ensembl